UAACGAUUGCUGCUGAUAAUGCUAUUUUUGGACAAACUGGUCCUAAAGUAGGUUCAUUUGAUGCAGGUUAUGGUUCAGGAUAUUUAGCACGUAUCGUUGGACAUAAGAAAGCACGUGAAA
Molecule: small RNA, 120 nt
Filed under: Staphylococcus aureus
Lineage: Bacteria; Bacillati; Bacillota; Bacilli; Caryophanales; Staphylococcaceae
Description: Transcript
Source: RNAcentral